AUUUCCGGAUCAAUUUCUUCGGUGGGAAAACAUAAUACUACUCCGUACUUCGUUAAUCCACCAGCUGAAAAUCAGUGGUCAAAUUCUCGCACCUCUCUGAUAGCGAGCCUACGGUCUUCCUCAUCGCCGAUUAACAGAUCGUCAACUGCAUUCUCGUCUCCGCUUUGCUUCAGCUGAAAUUCGAAAAGAAUUGGAGACCGCAGAAUUGCAUGCGAUUACCCCUGCUUCGAAAUGAGGACAGGAACACAAGCAUCUAGCAGAAAUUCUUGGCCACAUGGAUAGUGUUGAAGAGUCUGGUUUAAUUAAGAAGUCAUUUUUGGCAAUUACGUGCUGAAGAGAGUGUGUCACACUGACUAGACAGCCAUGUGCAAUUUAAAUUACUGUUAUGUUACAUGAAAAAAUAUUUUUCGGCUGCUAACCACAACCAUGCACUGCCCAUGCUCAAUGUAUAAAGGCACAUAUCCUUAGUUGUUGCUGUUGCCCUUUCUUUGAUUCCUUGCAUGAAAUUUAAUCAGAUUUCCUUAUAUUAAAUUACUACUUGAGAAUUGUUAUCUUCAGAAUUUGAUUAUAGAAGGUUUCCUCAGCUGACUGUGCUGUCUUGCUUGCUACUAGUGUUCUAUCAGAGUUCUCAAACUAAAUGCCCUAGUCUGCCCCUAGGAUAUGAUGUUAACCACUCUAUAUUCCUUUUUCUUUCUAUAGUUGAUCUCAGUUAUCAGAUCUAUACCGAAUCAGAGUGGCAAUCUCUGAAGCUUGGAUUAGGACAAUUUGAUUUUAUCCCAUUACUGAGUGCUGAUGCUUUUGGACUUUUUGUGCUUGUCCAUACUUUGACACCUUAUUGUAAAUGCUAUCUUACAAAUAUUAAUUGUUAUCAGGAAGUUGGGUAGUCAUAUCAUGUUGUGAUAUCAUUGUAAAAUAUCUAGCGAUUGUUGUGCUCGUAUGAACUACAUAUCAUUACAGGUUUGCUAUACCUCAUCCAUUCAAUUGUCGACCCUUUCUAGACGCUAUGCACCCCCUUUCCCCUGCACAGGGUUCCAUCUAGUUCGGAGCAGUUGAAGUAGCAGCAAUUUGUUAUGUUAUAGCUGGAUAGCGACUCCACGGUGAUUCUUAAUUAUAUUAAGCUGCCAACACUACGACCACAGCUAUGUCAACUCCUCAAAAGAGUAUAGAUCGAGAUAGAUAGGAAACCGGAGAAAAGGAAAUGUCUGUUUUCUUUGGACUCUUUGGAGUGACAUGUAAAAUGAUGCAUUUGCUAGAAAUACCAGCAAGAAAGUCGGGCUCACGAGUAUAAUAAGGCAUCGUUCAGUUGACAAGAUUACUUGUGACUAAAAGUCAUAUCUAUUCUUGUCUUUUGUUAGGUUGUCUUUUUCUCAAAGGUUCAAGAUUGUAUUGUAUUUCAUGAUUAACCAUCUCACCUUCACCCCAACUACUUUAAUUCCCGACAAACAUCAUUUUGACUUGUACUAUAUUGUAGCAUAUGUCAUUAUUAUAUUGUCUAAUGAACCGAACGCUACCUAUGGAUACUAUUUGAAAAUUAUGGCAAAAACAAAACCGCCAACGGUUCAUUUAUAUGGAUUUAUUAUUUUACUUUUGUUUGUGUUUUAGAGCAUUUCAUGGAGUACAUUUUAAAUGUCCUUUAUUUUAAUAUUUGUAUGAAAAAACACAUCCGAGUAUAAUAGUACUAGUAAGUACUCUCUCCGUCCCACAAAAGAUGUCACAC
Molecule: long non-coding RNA, 1717 nt
Organism: Salvia hispanica
Lineage: Eukaryota; Viridiplantae; Streptophyta; Magnoliopsida; Lamiales; Lamiaceae
Source: RefSeq, a predicted model, not a curated record